Molecule: long non-coding RNA, 932 nt
Organism: Mirounga angustirostris (Northern elephant seal)
Lineage: Eukaryota; Metazoa; Chordata; Mammalia; Carnivora; Phocidae
Exons: 2
Source: RefSeq, a predicted model, not a curated record
UCCAGCCUUGACUUGUGACCGACUCUGGACUGGCAGAGGGCGUCUGGAAAGGGAAAAUGCCAGGGGACGAAGCAUCAUCAUCAGACACCACCACCCCUGCCCCCACCCAAAGUCUCCCCUCGGGAUUUCCACUCAAGCUGAACAGACACCCCUGGGACAUUUUGACCCGGAAGUGUUUGUGCAAACGCCAACGUAGGAGUUGACUGUGGGGAGACAAAGCCCAGAAAGGAAACUUCAGCAAGAACUUCAAAAGCUGGUUCUAUUUUAAGCUCAGAAGGAAGUUCUGUGGAAGGAAAGUGUCUCCCACGGUGGCACGAACAACUUUUCCAGAUGAGGGCCAGGUCCUCCGUGGGCACGAGGGAAAACUAACAACUCUCAGAUCACCUGCGCUCGGGUAGCCGGUCUUUGUUUACCUGUGUGUGAGAGGCUCUUCUACAAAUUCCAGCAGCCAGUUCAAAAUAAGCCUGAGCUUGGCCUUGAUGGAUUUAUUGCUCAUUUGCUGCAGGCACAGACCGCUUGUACUGAAGGGGGAAAAAUACCAGUCUCUCCUCAGCUGCUUGCCCCAGAGUCCCGGGCCUGCCUGGCAACGAGCCUCUUUGCUCCUUCUCCAGCUCCGGGCCUGACACCACCUUGCCAUUGAAUAGUCUCGGGAAGAGUUCAGCGCAGGGUUUGCACUUUCCCAGCCAUUAGCCAGCUGCCAACGCAUUUCAUUAUCGUAGGAGGGUUUUGUACAUCAAAGUGAGCCCCAGACAGUGUGAUCAAGUGGAAGAGUUCCUAGUCAACAUUCUAACUUGCAGCAUUUUGUUUUCAUGGCUAUAAAUGCCAUCUGGUACCCAGGAACAGCAAAGGCCAGGGAUGGAAAAACCCUGCCUCCCUGUUUUGCUUAUUGAUGUAACAGUUAAUCCUGAUAAAGACCAAGGCCUCAGAACGAC